GGGGCCCCGGCGAAGGGAGCAUUCAGGUGCUGGAGCCAUAAAUGAGCGAUUUGGACGCCACAUAAGCACUGAGUUUUCUAAAUAACACACAGACUUUGGACCACAGCCAAAAUGCCCGGAACAAAAGGUAACAAAUCUGACAAGAAAUCAGCUACCAAGCAACCUCAGAGUCCUAAGGAGCAACCGAAGAAAGCUGAUCAGAAAGGAGAUGAUAACAAAAAGCAAGGAGGACAGCCGAAGGGAGAGAAGCAAUAAUUUCCAGGCAUUUGUGAAGAUGGCUCUGGAGACUCUGCUGGGAUCCUGCCGUCGCAAACAUGGGGGUCCUUGGGGCAGGCAAGGCUGAAAAGCAGCCUCCCAUCCUCUCCCCAUCUCCCUUGGAACUGCAUACAGGCCCCGUCUUGAUACACAACUGUGCCCACUUGCUCUCAGAAGGGCAGAAAGUGACCCAGCUUUCCAUCCAUCAGUGACCCACUGUGUGUGACCUUUCUUCCCACCCUGUUUCCCCUCGCUCAUUGUUUGCUCUGGAUUGUAGAACUCUUAGAAAUGGACGGACACAAGGUCAAACCCAGCCAAUGUUUCCAGAGCGUCCCCAGAAACUGAAACCUUGACCACUCCCAAUCUUUCCCUCUUCCCAACCAAAAUUCCUUAUUUUGAUCAAAUGUCCAAACCAUUCUUGUAAAUAAGCAAAUAAAUCAUUUUUUCCUAAAACAGUU
Molecule: long non-coding RNA, 713 nt
Organism: Oncorhynchus keta (chum salmon)
Lineage: Eukaryota; Metazoa; Chordata; Actinopteri; Salmoniformes; Salmonidae
Exons: 4
Source: RefSeq, a predicted model, not a curated record